RNAcentral lists this ribosomal RNA (506 nucleotides) under uncultured bacterium. Its description in RNAcentral is "partial 16S ribosomal RNA". It matches the Rfam family "Bacterial small subunit ribosomal RNA", at positions 29 to 523 of the family's 1533-position model. The record is from RNAcentral.
AGUGAACGCUGGCGGUAGGCCUAACACAUGCAAGUCGAACGGCAGCACAGGAGAGCUUGCUCUCUGGGUGGCGAGUGGCGGACGGGUGAGGAAUACAUCGGAAUCUACUCUGUCGUGGGGGAUAACGUAGGGAAACUUACGCUAAUACCGCAUACGACCUACGGGUGAAAGCAGGGGACCUUCGGGCCUUGCGCGAUUGAAUGAGCCGAUGUCGGAUUAGCUAGUUGGCGGGGUAAAGGCCCACCAAGGCGACGAUCCGUAGCUGGUCUGAGGGAAUGAUCAGCCACACUGGAACUGAGACACGGUCCAGACUCCUACGGGAGGCAGCAGUGGGGAAUAUUGGACAAUGGGCGCAGGCCUGAUCCAGCCAUACCGCGUGGGUGAAGAAGGCCUUCGGGUUGUAAAGCCCUUUUGUUGGGAAAGAAAUCCAGCUGGCUAAUACCCGGUUGGGAUGACGGUACCCAAAGAAUAAGCACCGGCUAACUUCGUGCCAGCCGCCGCGGUAA